UCUGACCAGCCAUGCCGCGUGAGGAUGAAGGUCCUCUGGAUUUGUAAACUUCUUUUAUCUGGGAAGAAA
This 69-nucleotide ribosomal RNA is filed under the name uncultured bacterium. RNAcentral describes it as "partial 16S ribosomal RNA". The record is from RNAcentral.